AGGGGGAGCGGUCGGUGGACACAGGAGAGUGGCGGUCCGUCGGCGAGCGGCGUCCUCCGUCGGGGUGCCUGCAGAAAAGCCGGUGGCCGGGUUUUCCGGCGCCGGCCCUCCGAUGCUUAAGUCAGAGGGGGGGAAACUGCGUUUAAAGGAGAAAGGAGAGAAGUUUUUCAGAGUUUCCUGUGUUCAACCCCCCUUGAGAAGCAAGGGUCCCCUUUUUAUAGGGGGGU
This 227-nucleotide long non-coding RNA is filed under the name Phoenix dactylifera (date palm). RNAcentral describes it as "long non-coding RNA (PDAC_LNC006055)". The record is from RNAcentral. Lineage: Eukaryota; Viridiplantae; Streptophyta; Magnoliopsida; Arecales; Arecaceae.